This is a non-coding RNA of Anolis sagrei ordinatus, 462 nucleotides long. The record is from the annotation of a RefSeq genome assembly. NCBI's taxonomy places the organism in Eukaryota, Metazoa, Chordata, Lepidosauria, Squamata, Anolidae.
UUAGCUGGGAUCAUGUUGUUUCUGCCAUGUCUUCUCCUUUUAGCAGCUUCAUUGUCAGCUGUUCUAUCUCAAAUCCACUUCAUUCAGUCUAGUCCUGAAGUUAAAAAGCCUGGAGAGUCAGUAAAAUUUACUUGUAAAGCAUCCGGAUACACGUUUACAGACUACAGUAUGAGCUGGAUCAGACAGGCACCAGGGAAAGGACUAGAAUGGGUUGCUACUAUUAGAACAGAUAAUUUUAAUACUUUCUAUCUAAAGACUCUUGAAGGCCGAGUCACUAUCUCUGUGAACACUUCAGUCAGCACUUCAUAUCUGCUGCUGACAAAUUUGAAAGCUGAAGACACUGCCGUAUAUUACUGUGCAAGGCGCACACUGUCGGCUGUCACCACCCCCAGCUUCUUCAAGGGCAAACUACUUUUAUAUUCCAGCACUCAGUCGUGUUUAUGUUUACAUGAGGAUGGCUAA